UUACAAUUCCAAAUAAAUCGUCAAUUACAAAUGAUUACUUGUGGCCCGGAGGCUUUUCCAGUUUCGCCAGGACAGGUGGGCGAGCAAAGGCUCAGCCAAGCAAAGGCUCAGCCAUUUUAAAACUACACUGGCAACAAAAACAUCUUGAAAAGCCAAUCGCCUUAACGAAAGAAAGAAGAAGGAAAAGAGUGCAAUAUUAAUUCAUUCAACAAUAAAAUAACCUAUUGUUUG
Molecule: long non-coding RNA, 231 nt
Organism: Bombyx mori (domestic silkworm)
Lineage: Eukaryota; Metazoa; Arthropoda; Insecta; Lepidoptera; Bombycidae
Exons: 2
Source: RefSeq, a predicted model, not a curated record